This 2867-nucleotide long non-coding RNA is filed under the name Cervus hanglu yarkandensis (Yarkand deer). Its description in RNAcentral is "lncRNA (ENSCHYG00000006942.1)". Lineage: Eukaryota; Metazoa; Chordata; Mammalia; Artiodactyla; Cervidae. The record is from RNAcentral.
GGGCCUGGACUCCUGGGUUUGAUGGUAGCGGGGCCUGCAUUCCUGAGUCUGAAGGAAGAAGGGCUGGGGACCUGGACUCCUGGGUCUGAGGGAGGAGGGGCUGGGGGCCUGGACCCCUGGCUCUGAGGGAGGAAGGACUGGGGAGCUGGGGGGGCUGGGGGCCUGGACCCCUGGGUCUGAGGGAGGAGGGGCUGGGGGCCUGGACCCCUGGGUCUGAGGGAGGAGGGGCUGUGCUCCUGGAGGAGCUUGGAGUUGGGAAUCCUGGGUUUGAGGAGAGUGGCUGGGGUCCAGAAUUACGGACCUCCUCCCCCUCCAGGGGGCAGAAUCCGAACUUUGGACGCAAAAGGUAUUGAGCUUCAGUACCCAUGCUGCCAAAGUGAAGAUGGACUGGGUCGCCAGGGGUGGAGAGGCCAGGCUGGGGUUUCAGGGCGCGAUUCUGAGUUUUGGAGUGAUGGGGUGUGGUGUUCGGCGCGGAGGUGGGGACAGGGCUGGGGCGUGGCCCGGGACGUCCUGAGCUGGGUUCGGAAGCCAACGGGGUGUUUCCUCUGCCUGCUUGGGUCUCCGGCGGCUCAUUCCUGAGCUCUGACCUCAGGCCACGGCUGGGGGCUCGGAGAGUGGGGACUGACCCCAACCCUCCAGGUGGUCCGCGCGCUAACUCACCUUCCAGGGGAGGCUCCCCGAGGCCCCGCCCUCUGCCUCCUGGGCGCGCCCCACUUCCUCCUAACGGGUCAGGGGAACGGGAGGCGGCAGACUCCUGCGGGGCACCUCCCAGGUGGCCCGGGAGGCUCCGCUCCGGCCGGGGGAGACCAGCCCUCCGGGUGGUGGCGGAAGGUGUGGCCACUGUCUUCGAACUGGAUUCCAAUACUGUGCAGUUUCCCGCCGCCACCCCUACCCCGAGAUGCCAGGCGUGCGCAAGGCGAACCCAGGGGUCCAGCCCUUUUCCAGGUGUCUGACCCAAUCCGCCUCCAGGACCGAAUCUCUUUCUGGUGGGGGCCCUCCGCCGAGACCGCUGGUGAGUGGGGCCGGGGGCCUCAGACUCUUAGGUCCGAGCCGGGGAGGGGUUCUGGGGUCUGGACUCCUGGAUCUGAAGGAGGAGGGGCUGGGGAAUUUGGUCGCCUAGAUCCUGAGACAUGAGGAGGAAGUAUGUUCAGGAACUGGUCUCCUGUGUCCCCAGGAAGCUCUUGUGAGGGACAGCUGGGCUGUGACCCUGCCCUCCUACACUGGAAAGAGGAAGUUUUAUUGCCUGGGAGUUGAGAGAGGCCUUUUGAGCUUGCCAGAGGUGUUUCCCUGGUGGCUCGGUGGCCAAGAAUCGGCCUGUAAUGUAGGAGACAUGAGACUGGGGUUCUAUCCCUUAAUCGGGAUGAUCCCCUGGAGGAGGGCAUGGCAACCCACUCCAGAGUUCUUGCCUGGAGAAUCCCAUGGACAGAGGAGCCUGGCGGGCUGCAGUCCAUGGGAUCGCAAAGAGUCGGACAUGGCUGGAGUGGCUGAGCAGCAGUAGCCGAGAGAUUAGCUAUUUUAGGGCCUGAGUGAGGAUAUGGACACUUGGUCAGGAGUUUGAGGCCAGGGCCUCAUUCCUGAGUCUUUGGGACAAGGACACUGUCUUUCUGAACCUGAGAGACCCAGAGAUUUCAGUGGCCUGGGUCAGGGGAGGGGGCUGAGGUUCCCGGAAGUUGGGGACUAGCUGGCUUGGUUCCUGAAGGGGCCUGAACCUCAUGUUGGGGGAGAGGCAGGAGGAAGCUUGACUUCCUUUGGGUUGAACUUCCCCAGGCUCCUCAGUGGGGUGCAAGUUCCCCAGGCUUCCCAGGUGGUGCUAGUGGUUAAGAACCCACCCGCCAGUGCAGGAGACUCCAGUUCAAUCCCUGGGUGGGAAAGAUCCCCUGGAGAAGGGCAUGGCAACCCACUCCAGUGUUCUUGCCUGGAGAGUCCCAUGGACAGAGGAGCCUGGCAGGCUGCAGUCCACGGGGUCACAAGGGUUGGACACGACCAAAACGACUUAACACACAGAUACCCCAGACCUAAAUCCCUGUGGCCACAGGAGGGGUGCUGCUGAGGUUGCUAAUACCCAGUUCCACCUGGGGAGAGACUCCCCUUCAGUGAGAGGUGGCAGGCUGGAAGACUGGGAGCUCUGAUCAGAUGUGGGUCCCUGAGAAGUUCCCCGAGUGAUGGCUAGACUCUUGAAUGUGUCUGGAGGCUGGAAGUGUUUGUUAGAUCAAAGAAAGUUCUGGCUGCAGAUCCCUGGGUACCCAAAGGAAGGAAGUUGCAGGGGUGGGUUUUUUAAGAGAUCACAGAAGACAGGGUCUCUUAUUCUGAUGGGGGUGGUGGGGAGGGCACAAGACGGGGACGCUUUAGAGCACAAUCCUUUUUUUUUUUUUGGUUGUAACCCAGGGCAUGUAGGAUCUUAGUUCCCCAACCAGGGAUUGCCCCCUGCAUUGGAAGUGCGAAAGUCUUAACCACUGGUCCACCAGGGAGGUCCCUAGAGUAGAAUCUUGAGUGGCUGGGUUGCUGAGUCCCUGGGGGAAGGAGAGCAGCUUUGUGUGUCUGGAGUGGAGGGGGGAUAAAAAAGAGACGUGAUUUUACAAGAGUUGGCUUUCAGGGUUAAGAAAGAAGGGUCCUGGGGAAAAGAGAGACAGGGUACCUACCCUCCUGAGCUCUGACAUGAGGCUGGAGUGGGGGGGGGCUAACACCUGGACCACCAGCAUCCCUGUAGGCCUGGGACUGGCCCGGUUUGAAAACUGAAAGGCCCAAAUCCCGGGUACCCCUCCAGCUAGAGUCCAGAUUACACCAUCCACAAUGGCCCCUCCAGGGAGGCAAGUGCCCCAGGGUGGGGGGGACCCUGGAUCCUCCAGUUUGGAAUGUUCUUAGGAUCU